RNAcentral lists this long non-coding RNA (467 nucleotides) under Prunus persica (peach). RNAcentral describes it as "long non-coding RNA (PPER_LNC004767)". The record is from RNAcentral. Lineage: Eukaryota; Viridiplantae; Streptophyta; Magnoliopsida; Rosales; Rosaceae.
CGGAUAACCUACGCCACGCGAGACCUGAACAUCAUAUCAUAAUAUCUCCCCAUACGCCGGUACAACCAAUGCCACGUAUGGGGUUUGUCGACACGCCGGAUAACUUACGCCACGUGCGACCUCAACAUAAUAUCACAUAAUCUCCCCAUACGCCGAUACAACCAACGCCACGUAUGGGGUCUGUCUCAACGCCGGAUAACCUACGCCACGCGAGACCUCAACAUCAUAGUACAAUAUCUCCCCAUAUGCCGAUACAACCAACACCACGUAUGGGGCCUGUCCGCACGCCGGAUAACCUACGCCACGUCUGACCUAACUUUUACAGGGUGGUACUUGUAGUGUAACUAAAAUCCGGGGAGGUGCCUAAGGUAGUGCGUAUAGCACUCCAAACUGACAUUCUAGACUCUUUUUAUACCUUUGCAAACAUAUAUAAAUAUAUAAUUUAAUUAUAAUAUUGUGUAAACCUC